GGGGUCGGCUGUAGGGAACGGAGGAGGAUGGUUGCGCCACCAUACGUGCUUCCACGACUGCCUACACCACUUCUCGUCUUCCUCCUAGCCAAAAUCAUGCCUAAAGGGUUGUACAGGGUUUGGGCUGGAGCAUUGGAGCUCCGACGCUUGCGCCGCUGUGCCCCAAAGUCGUGAAAUGGCUUCUACUGGAUUCUAGAAAAUAAUAAGCAAGCCAAGUGACUGAUUUUUGUAGACAGAUGUUCACAGGGCUAGAAGGUUAAGCCAGGAACAACCUUAGUUGAGCCAUUACUGCAUAAAUAUGAAGGUAGUGAGAAUGACAGUGGAGCUUGAGAAAUCUUUUACGGAAGGGAUUUACAGCCAUAAUCAAUGGUCAUCAAAUUGUACCACAUGAGACAUAUCUCCAUUUCAUAGAUCUUGCUGAAAAUAUUAGGUGGCUGAAUUUACCGACAAGAAGCCACGGGGCAGUGCGGACAAGAAUCAGCAGGGGCGGCGGUUCUCCGCCUAGAGGAGUUAGAUGGGAGAGGAAGGAGGGCGGCGACAGGAGGGAAGAGCAGGUGGCCUUGGUUCAUGGAGAAUGACUGAUGCCCAUCCGGAU
This is a long non-coding RNA of Lolium rigidum, 595 nucleotides long. RefSeq lists it as uncharacterized. The record is from RefSeq and is a predicted model, not a curated record. Lineage: Eukaryota; Viridiplantae; Streptophyta; Magnoliopsida; Poales; Poaceae. The transcript has 5 exons.